AAAUCCGUGAAUUUUAAAUCGUGAGGGUUCAAGUCCCUCUAUCCCCA
This 47-nucleotide transfer RNA is filed under the name Lycaste cruenta. RNAcentral describes it as "partial tRNA-Leu". The record is from RNAcentral. Lineage: Eukaryota; Viridiplantae; Streptophyta; Magnoliopsida; Asparagales; Orchidaceae.